GCCAGGCAUGGUGGCACAUGCCUGUAAUCCCAGCUACUUGGGAGGCUGAGGCAGGGGAAUUGCUUGAACCCAGGAGGCGGAGGCUGCAGUGAGCCAAGAACGCACCACUGCACUCCAGCCUGGGUGACAGAGCAAGACUCUGUCUAAA
RNAcentral lists this non-coding RNA (148 nucleotides) under Gorilla gorilla gorilla (western lowland gorilla). Lineage: Eukaryota; Metazoa; Chordata; Mammalia; Primates; Hominidae. The record is from Rfam by way of RNAcentral.